AAGACUAUAGACCUGCGGAGUACCUGCGGAAGGAUCAUUAUCAAUUUACAGCGGACUUCGGUCCUGUCUGCACCCUUGUCUUUUGCGUACUAUAUGUUUCCUCGGUGGGCUUGCCUGCCGAUAGGACACUUAUAAACUCUUUUGUAAUUGCAAUCAGCGUCAGAAAACUAUAAUAGUUACAACUUUCAACAACGGAUCUCU
This 201-nucleotide unclassified non-coding RNA is filed under the name soil metagenome. Its description in RNAcentral is "partial contains 5.8S ribosomal RNA, internal transcribed spacer 2, and large subunit ribosomal RNA". The record is from RNAcentral.